CAGUCCGCUCCGUGAGGACAGCCGGGACCCCGUGGGGCAGUCCGCUCCGUGAGGACAGCCGGGACCCCGUGGGGCAGUCCGCUCCGUAAGGACAGCCUGGGACCCCGUGGGGCAGUUCUACUCUGUCCUGCAAGGUCCCUAUGAGUCGGAAUUGACUCGAUGGCAACAGGUUAAGUACUUAGUUCAGUUUGUUGAAUAGAAAAUGUUCUCAGGGAACUUUGUGGUUUAUUGUUUUGUUCGCCCCCAGAUCAGAGCCCUGAACCUCUCUGGUAUUCUAGUUGGUGUUUCUCACCAUGCCAGUCCUGUGUCCAGAUCUGUUUUCUAUUGUCAUUAUGUCUGACGCUUGAUCCUUUGGUUUCUAAUUCUCAUAUCUUCUUCCAUUUUUAUGCUUUGUGGCUCUUCCCGUCUACUCUCCACGCUUCAGACCUAGAGUCGCUUCUGUCUCCAGUCUGAGCGUGGAGUCUUGCUUCUGCGCUGUCAGCACCAUCCUCGUUCUAUGAAGUGAGCAUGUAGAACUUCAGUCGGUGGAACAAAUUUGCUUACUGAUUAAAUUUGAAUCUUAAUUCCCAAAACUCUCCUAUAUUAUCUGACUGACCCUUUUCUGCCAUUCUAUUCUUAUUGUAUGUGUGCAAUUGUUUCUCUUAUCUUUCUGCAGGUGUUAAUCAUAGAUGUUUUUAAGGUUUCUUCUUCCUGUAUUUUCUCCAUUUGUCUCUGUAUUUGGGUUCAUUCUGGAAGUGGCUCACUAAGCUAUGAGUCACUAACACACAGCAGCUCAUAAAGAUUCAGUGAACUGUGUUGAACUGAACUGAAUUAGAAAAGAAUGCCACUGUUAUAAUAUCACUGUAGAAAACUGUGGAUUUCAAGAUAUUCUGGGUCUUCUAGUUCCUUACAACAUAUUUAUCUUCAGUGCCUUCCAUUUCUCUUCUGUUGUUGCUGUAUGUUAUGAAGUCAACUCUGACUUAUAGCGGUCUCAUGUGACAGAGUAGAACUGCCCCACAGGGUUUCCAAGGCUGUUAUCUUUACGGAGGCAGACUGCCACGUCUUCCUCCCGUGGGGCCACUGGUGGGUUCGAAUCAAAGACCUUUUGGUUUAAUAACAAAGCACUUAACCACUGUGCUACCAGGGCUCCUAUUUCUCUUCUACUAUAAUUACAGUAAAAUAAUUGAAAGAUAGGAAAUUAAACACACACACACACAAAGCCAUUGGAGCAUUGCAAGUAUUAGCAUAUGUGUCUGUAGAGGAAAUAGCUUUAAGAAACUUAUCACAUUAUUCCCUAAACUCAGGAAGAUUCAGAAAUUGGAAACAUUGUAUCAUACAGAAGGCAGAUGUCAGACUGAAGGGAGGUGAUAGUCUAAAAACAGGUCUACCCCACCUUCCUGCAUAGCCAGGCAAUAUGCCUCCCCAAUUCCCUCAGAAGGGAGAAGGUUUAUUUGUGAAGAAUCUGAACCACAAGGGCUGUGCCCUCAGGUACAGCAGGAAGGAGGAGAAAAGCUCGUCACUGAAAACAGAGGAAUGAAGUGCAAAUCUGCCUAGUGAACAGUGAGAACCACGUGUCCCAGAUGCCGGCAGCCGGGCACAUAAUACGUGGGCACAAGAUUGGAGAUUCUUCUCUGGGGAAGCAAAAUGGCCUCAAAGGAAAGACCAAAGAUGUUGGCAUUUAUGGAUUAUCUAAUGAAUAAUCUCUUUUACUUCCCUAUCACCCUAUGGUGAAGCCCUCCUUUUGGCUAGUCCCCUCCGUAAUUGCAGAAACCCCAUCAGUUGUUUUGUGCCUCAUUCAAAUAUAAACAGACAGAACCGAACAAAAAAAAUAACAUGAAGAAGGAAACUUAAAAA
Loxodonta africana (African savanna elephant) is the source of this 1833-nucleotide long non-coding RNA. RefSeq lists it as uncharacterized. The transcript has 2 exons. NCBI's taxonomy places the organism in Eukaryota, Metazoa, Chordata, Mammalia, Proboscidea, Elephantidae. The record is from RefSeq and is a predicted model, not a curated record.